AAAAUCAGUUGUGAUUCCAAGAAGAGAUGAACUCAAGUGGUGAGGUUCUCUUUAUGUCCUCAUUUCAUGAAAAUGUGCUCUGCUAAAGCCUUCUGAAAAGAUGUUCUACAAGAAGCCUGCUGCUGGUGCUCAUCUCUGGAUUCCCUCUGCCUUGGAUGCACAUUCUAACUGGUUGAACUAAACAGAGUUGGUUGUUGUUGUCUGAAAGAAAUAGACUAUAUUCAAAAUAAAUAUUACCUGGACAUGUCA
This 249-nucleotide long non-coding RNA is filed under the name Urocitellus parryii (Arctic ground squirrel). RNAcentral's name for it is "lncRNA (ENSUPAG00010016773.1)". Lineage: Eukaryota; Metazoa; Chordata; Mammalia; Rodentia; Sciuridae. The record is from RNAcentral.